RNAcentral lists this transfer RNA (72 nucleotides) under Microcebus murinus (gray mouse lemur). RNAcentral's name for it is "tRNA-Ala (TGC) (tRNA-Ala-TGC-7-1)". It matches the Rfam family "tRNA". Rfam says of the family: Transfer RNA (tRNA) molecules are approximately 80 nucleotides in length. The record is from Rfam by way of RNAcentral. Lineage: Eukaryota; Metazoa; Chordata; Mammalia; Primates; Cheirogaleidae.
GGGGAUAUAGCUCAGUGGUAGAGUUCAUGCUUUGCAUGUAUGAGGUUCUGGGUUCAAUCCCUGGUGUCUCCA